GCCGUAAUCAGCUAUAAUUCAUUGGUCCGGUAGUCUGACUUCAAAUGUCAAUAAGGUUGAUUGUUUCCGUAGGCUGAUUUGGUAGAAGGUUGAACUGUUCAACCUUCUGUUACCGAAAGUGUAAAAUUUUUAUAAGAGUUAAUUUCAUAAAAUAUUCAUGUAUCUAAUUCCUUCUGUUGAAAUGAAAUUAGAUUUCCAGAAAACCUCUCCCAUGUAAUCGUAUCGAUAGAAAUAACGAUG
This 240-nucleotide long non-coding RNA is filed under the name Mytilus galloprovincialis (Mediterranean mussel). The record is from RNAcentral. Lineage: Eukaryota; Metazoa; Mollusca; Bivalvia; Mytilida; Mytilidae.